AGAUCGUCUUUCCUCCUUCGCAGAAUUGUUUAAAGAUGGAGUGAAUGAUGCACGUAAGCAUCUCGAAAACAGAAACUCCUAGAAGAAUACCUGGCACCCAGUGGGGGGUCAGCACAUGACAGCUCCCUUUCCCGUCUGUUGGACUGUGGGAGUUUUCCGGAGCAGGGAGCGCAUCAUGUUUUUCUUUGCAUCCCAGGGAAUAAUCAACACCUUGUAUGAACCACACCCUAGGGAGGGAGCUGGGCAAGCAGGCAUGCGAGAUGCUCAGCUCCUGGGUUUCUGAUCUGACCGUCUCGCUGGGACUGCACUCCAGUGACCUUUAUCCCCUUUGUCAUAACCCAGCCGUGUUUCCUGGGAUCAUGUCCCACAUGGGCCACUUGCACGUGAAUUUCCAUCUCAGAGUUUGCUUCUAAGACAGGUCUUGACAUCGUCUUGACGGCCGAUUCCUCUGAUAGAUACAAGACUUUCUGUCAUGGCCGUGAAAACGCACUCUGGGUAAUGCUGGUCCCUGAGGAAUGAAAGACUUGUGGAGCAGAGUGACCUCAGUGCCUGCCAUCCUUGCAGCCCUGCAGCUUGAGGAACGAUACCCCAGCUCAGUAUGCUAACAAGCACUUAUUGCUGUCUGCCUUUCAGGAUGGUUUGUCACGCAGCAAUCGCUGACUGAUACAAAGCUUUCUCUGUGCUCUGCUCACCCAUCUGUUUAGCCCACAAUCACAUGUGAUUAGAAA
This 728-nucleotide long non-coding RNA is filed under the name Equus asinus (donkey). RNAcentral describes it as "lncRNA (ENSEASG00005032372.1)". Lineage: Eukaryota; Metazoa; Chordata; Mammalia; Perissodactyla; Equidae. The record is from RNAcentral.